Patella vulgata (common limpet) is the source of this 873-nucleotide long non-coding RNA. RefSeq lists it as uncharacterized. Lineage: Eukaryota; Metazoa; Mollusca; Gastropoda; Patellidae. The record is from RefSeq and is a predicted model, not a curated record. The transcript has 8 exons.
AUAAAGAUAUAAACAAUUUACAGAAGAACUACUUUGAGUGACUCAAGAUGGCUGUGUAUUGGACUGUGGUUGUUUUAUCCGUUCUUUAUUAUAACACCAAUGGAGCAAGUAUUAAUCAAGCUGCUCCGACACUCGAUCCAACACUAGCAUGUUCUGUUGAUGGUCAUCUGGUACCUAAUGGUCAAAACUUCACCACCAAGAUAAAUGGUCCUUGUUUUACUUUUAGAUGCGUUAAUAGGGCUUAUAUUCCUAUAGAAUUCAAAUGUCCGUAUGGUAAAGGGUGUUUAGCUAUUGGUUCGAAUGUGUCCACUGUUCAAUGCAUAACGCAACAAUGUCAGAAGAAUGGAAAUUAUGUUGGUUACAAUAUAAUUAAAGGCGGAUGUUCUGGGUUUGAUAACACAUGUAUCGAUGUAAAUGCGACAUACCAAGAUGGCUGUAUAACUUAUAAAUGUUUAAAAAAUGACAAUACUUAUCAUUUGGCGCAUGUAGAAUGGGGCUGUAGAUUCAGAAAUACAUGUUUAAAGGCCGGUCAUAUUGAAAAGACCCAAUGUCAAGUUAACCGAUGUGAAAAACGUGGGGAUGUGAUUGGAAUGUACCCAAUACAAAGCGGAUGUCAGUAUGGUGAUGGUCAAUGCAUAAAUGUAGGAGGACAGGGUUUAUAUAAAUGUAUUUUAUAUUCUUGUGAGACACAGAAUAUAAAUGGUCUGUCAUAUCAUACUACAAAACCAAUUGCUGCAAUGUGUGAAGACUCCCAGGGGGUGUGUCAUAGUAAUGGAGCGAACAUGCAGAUGAUUAUUAAUGGAAAUAUUACAGCAAAUUGUAAUUGUAUGGUUAAUGGAUUAAAUGUUGGUUAUAAAUGUAAUGGAUAAUAAA